UACGUACCGUCCAAACGUUAUUCGGAAUCACUGGGCUUAAAGGGUGCGUAGGCGGUCCAGUAAGUUGGGUGUGAAAGCCCUCGGCUCAACCGAGGAAUUGCGCCCAAAACUACUGGACUCGAGGGAGACAGAGGUAAGCGGAACUUAAGGUGGAGCGGUGAAAUGCGUUGAUAUCUUAAGGAACACCAGGAGCGAAAGCGGCUUACUGGGUCUCUUCUGACGCUGAGGCACGAAAGCUAGGGGAGCGAACGGGAUUAGAUACCCCGGUAGUCCUAGCCGUAAACGAUGAGCACUGGGUUGGAGGCCCCCCCAUAGGCUUCUAGCCGUAGCGAAAGUGUUAAGUGCUCCGCCUGGGGAGUAUGGUCGCAAGGCUGAA
RNAcentral lists this ribosomal RNA (376 nucleotides) under uncultured bacterium. RNAcentral describes it as "bacterial SSU rRNA". It matches the Rfam family "Bacterial small subunit ribosomal RNA", at positions 524 to 898 of the family's 1533-position model. The record is from RNAcentral.